RNAcentral lists this long non-coding RNA (481 nucleotides) under Ananas comosus (pineapple). RNAcentral describes it as "long non-coding RNA (ACOM_LNC026003)". Lineage: Eukaryota; Viridiplantae; Streptophyta; Magnoliopsida; Poales; Bromeliaceae. The record is from RNAcentral.
UUGUAACAUACCAGAUUUUGGUAUAAAAAAAAAAAAUAAAAAUAGUGUGAGAAGCUAUUUUUAUUGGAUUUAAAGAAGUAAAAUAUAAGUCAGAAAUGACUUGUGCUGAAAUCGGAAUGAAAACAGAAGAUUUAGAAUUUUCUGUUGGAAACGGGCCAGACAAAUUAGCAGAAAAUGCACAGUCUCAGAAAAUUAUGAAAAUUGGAGGAUAAGUUAGAAAUAUUUUUAUGAGGUUAGAUUUAAAGUUUCAUAUUUUUCUGACACCCGUAGAGUGAGAAAUAAAAUCCGACAGCUAUCUGAUAAAGAUUACAGUUCGGUACAGUUUUCAGUGACCAAACAGGGUCGAAACUGAAAAAUUAAGAUAUAUUCUUACUCAGUACAUUAAACCGAGCCUGUCUGUUAAAUUUGAGCCCAAACGGACAUUCAGAAGGGCUCCAACUGUUCCGAACUGCUAAACUGCCCUAGAGUGAAUAGUGUUUUG